GAAAUAAUGCUACCUUUGAGUGUUUUGCGUUCAAAGUCCGUUCCAAGUCGGUUUAAAGCAGAGGAUUUC
This 69-nucleotide non-coding RNA is filed under the name unclassified sequences. The record is from RNAcentral.